UACGUAGGGUGCAAGCGUUGCCCGGAUUUAUUGGGCGUAAAGGGCGCGUAGGCGGCUCUGCACGUUCGUUGUGAAAUCGCCCGGCUCAACUGGGCGGGGUCAGCGGAUACGGCAGAGCUUGAGCAAGCUAGGGGGCAAUGGAAUUCCCGGUGUAGUGGUGGAAUGCGUAGAGAUCGGCAGGAACACCCAGGGGGAAACCAGUCGACUGGGCAGCACCUGACGCUGAGGUGCGAGAGCGUGGGGAGCGAACCGG
Molecule: ribosomal RNA, 253 nt
Filed under: uncultured bacterium
Lineage: Bacteria
Description: partial 16S ribosomal RNA
Rfam family: Bacterial small subunit ribosomal RNA
Source: RNAcentral